RNAcentral lists this ribosomal RNA (258 nucleotides) under Amanita phalloides. RNAcentral describes it as "5.8S ribosomal RNA". The stretch from base 100 to 253 matches the Rfam family "5.8S ribosomal RNA". Rfam says of the family: 5.8S ribosomal RNA (5.8S rRNA) is a component of the large subunit of the eukaryotic ribosome. It is transcribed by RNA polymerase I as part of the 45S precursor that also contains 18S and 28S rRNA. The record is from RNAcentral. Lineage: Eukaryota; Fungi; Basidiomycota; Agaricomycetes; Agaricales; Amanitaceae.
ACCAGUCUCUUGAGAAGUUGAAAAUCUGGGUGUCUAUGCCAUUUUAUUAAACACUAGUUGCAUGUUUAUAGAAUGAUGAUUUGAUUAAAUAUAAAGUACAACUUUCAACAACGGAUCUCUUGGCUCUCGCAUCGAUGAAGAACGCAGCGAAAUGCGAUAAGUAAUGUGAAUUGCAGAAUUCAGUGAAUCAUCGAAUCUUUGAACGCACCUUGCGCUCCUUGGCAUUCCGAGGAGCAUGCCUGUUUGAGUGUCAUUAAA